RNAcentral lists this transfer RNA (71 nucleotides) under Actinomycetota bacterium. RNAcentral's name for it is "Actinobacteria bacterium tRNA-Met". It matches the Rfam family "tRNA". Rfam says of the family: Transfer RNA (tRNA) molecules are approximately 80 nucleotides in length. Their secondary structure includes four short double-helical elements and three loops (D, anti-codon, and T loops). The record is from RNAcentral. Lineage: Bacteria; Bacillati; Actinomycetota.
CGCGCCGUAGAGGAGAGGUUUCUCGGCGGGUUCAUAUCCCGCAGACGUGGGUUCGAUUCCCACCGGCGCUA